This 313-nucleotide unclassified non-coding RNA is filed under the name Hevea brasiliensis (rubber tree). Lineage: Eukaryota; Viridiplantae; Streptophyta; Magnoliopsida; Malpighiales; Euphorbiaceae. The record is from RNAcentral.
GUCCUCGAUCGCCUCCCACUUUGCCUUGAGGUCGGCGACGAGCUCGUCGCCGCUGGCCGAGGUGGAGGUGUCGUCGGAGGCGGCCCUGACGCGGAGCAGGGACAGUCGCGGCGCGUCCUGGAGGCGCAGCGGUUGGAGCACGCCGCCGCGGCGCGGCAGAAGCGCGGCGGAGCGUGGAGCGGCGGGGACGCGCGCGCCGGUGGCGCCGAGGAGCGCCACGGUGUACGCCGUGGCUGCGGCCAUGUCGGUGCCCUCCUCCUCCUCCUCCUCCUUAUCACCAAGUAAGCUAGAGGCAGCAGCUGAGCUCUCUUCG